UGGGGAAUUUUGGACAAUGGGCGCAAGCCUGAUCCAGCCAUUCCGCGUGCAGGAUGAAGGCCUUCGGGUUGUAAACUGCUUUUGUACGGAACGAAACAGCCCUUUCUAAUACAAGGGGUCAAUGACGGUACCGUAAGAAUAAGCGCCGGCUAACUACGUGCCAGCAGCCGCGGUAAUACGUAGGGUGCGAGCGUUAAUCGGAAUUACUGGGCGUAAAGCGUGCGCAGGCGGUCUUGUAAGACAGAUGUGAAAUCCCCGGGCUCAACCUGGGACCUGCAUUUGUGACUGCAAGGCUGGAGUACGGCAGAGGGGGAUGGAAUUCCGCGUGUAGCAGUGAAAUGCGUAGAUAUGCGGAGGAACACCGAUGGCGAAGGCAAUCCCCUGGGCCUGCACUGACGCUCAUGCACGAAAGAGGGGGGAGCAAAC
Molecule: ribosomal RNA, 426 nt
Filed under: uncultured bacterium
Lineage: Bacteria
Description: bacterial SSU rRNA
Rfam family: Bacterial small subunit ribosomal RNA
Source: RNAcentral